Myodes glareolus (Bank vole) is the source of this 416-nucleotide non-coding RNA. NCBI's taxonomy places the organism in Eukaryota, Metazoa, Chordata, Mammalia, Rodentia, Cricetidae. The record is from RefSeq and is a predicted model, not a curated record.
GGUUGUUUCUGCCAUGGGACCUUUUCCAGGAUGGCUGGCUUGGAAGCCUCUUGCCCACCCUCCCAUCUCCAGUGCUGGGAUUGUGGAUUUGUGUGACCACAUCAGACUUUUUCAGCAAGGAAGACAGAACAGAAGGAAGCAUUUCUCAAUUAAAUCCUCAUUUAAAUAAAGAGAGAUUACAAGUAGGACCUUCCCAAGAAGGUGGUGAGCACGGAGAUGAUGCAGGCGGAGUGCUCAGCACACAUGCAGCGCCUGGCCCACGGCAGCUUCGAGGAACGUGCUGCUACUGUCUCUAUGCAGUGAGCCAGUGAAGUAGAGAAUGAAGCCCUAGGAUGAUGAGGGCAUCACACCGAAAAAGGGAGCUCUCCCAACUCAGUCCUCUUCAGUUUAGGAGUAAAUGUCACUGGAUCAAAUGA